CCAACUCUGGAAUAUGCGCCAAACUCUUAUUUUGAACCUACAUUUAUACGUUGGAAGCCUAAUAUUUAGAUGAAGAAAUGUACCUACUUGUGAGUCCUUUUACGGCAUUGAAGGCGAUUGACACUUCUGUGAAGGCAUCCCCCUAUCGAGAGAUAGGUGUCAAAAUAGGGGUAACGGUAUUUUGGAGUAUUU
This 192-nucleotide non-coding RNA is filed under the name Bacillota bacterium. Its description in RNAcentral is "6S RNA". It matches the Rfam family "6S / SsrS RNA". Rfam says of the family: E. coli 6S RNA was the first non coding RNA to be sequenced, but its function was unknown until recently. It consists of 184 nucleotides that fold into an extended hairpin structure with a large single-stranded internal bulge. Lineage: Bacteria; Bacillati; Bacillota. The record is from RNAcentral.